Molecule: ribosomal RNA, 251 nt
Filed under: uncultured prokaryote
Description: partial 16S rRNA
Rfam family: Bacterial small subunit ribosomal RNA
Source: RNAcentral
ACGUAGGCAGCAAGCGUUGUUCGGAGUUACUGGGCGUAAAGAGUGCGUAGGUGGUUCUCUAAGUUCGGUGUGAAAUCUCCCGGCUCAACUGGGAGGGUGCGCCGAAAACUGGAGAGCUUGAGUAUGGGAGAGGAGAGCGGAAUUCCUGGUGUAGCGGUGAAAUGCGUAUAUAUCACGAGGAACCCCGAUGGGGGGGUCGGCACUCGGGACCAUUUCUGAUUAUGGGGCACGAAAGCAUGGGGAGCAAACAG